RNAcentral lists this ribosomal RNA (341 nucleotides) under Aurospio cf. dibranchiata TMG-2019. Its description in RNAcentral is "partial large subunit ribosomal RNA". It matches the Rfam family "Bacterial large subunit ribosomal RNA", at positions 1969 to 2528 of the family's 2925-position model. The record is from RNAcentral. Lineage: Eukaryota; Metazoa; Annelida; Polychaeta; Spionida; Spionidae.
UUGCCUUUUAAUUGGAGGCUUGUAUGAACGGACACACGAAAACGCAACUUUCUUAUCGAGGAAAAUAAAAAUUAACCUUCAAGUGAAGAGACUUGAGUAUCAUAAAAAGACGAAAAGACCCUAUGGAGCUUUACUUAAAUUAUUAAACCACAAAUAAAAAAAAGCUUUUUUUACUAAAAAAGUUUAGUUGGGGCGACUAAGGAGCACACAUCACCCUCCUACUGACAAAAGACUCUAAAUCUACAAAAGAUCCACAAACGUGAAUAAAAACCCAGCUACCCUAGGGAUAACAGGCUAAUCCUCCUUAAGAGCUCAAAUUGACAGGAGGGCUUGGCACCUCG